AUUGAACGCUGGCGGCAUGCCUUACACAUGCAAGUUGAACGGCAGCACGGGUGCUUGCACCUGGUGGCGAGUGGCGAACGGGUGAGUAAUACAUCGGAACAUGUCCUGUAGUGGGGGAUAGCCCGGCGAAAGCCGGAUUAAUACCGCAUACGAUCCACGGAUGAAAGCGGGGGACCUUCGGGCCUCGCGCUAUAGGGUUGGCCGAUGGCUGAUUAGCUAGUUGGUGGGGUAAAGGCCUACCAAGGCGACGAUCAGUAGCUGGUCUGAGAGGACGACCAGCCACACUGGGACUGAGACACGGCCCAGACUCCUACGGGAGGCAGCAGUGGGGAAUUUUGGACAAUGGGCGAAAGCCUGAUCCAGCAAUGCCGCGUGUGUGAAGAAGGCCUUCGGGUUGUAAAGCACUUUUGUCCGGAAAGAAAUCCUUGACUCUAAUACAGUCGGGGGAUGACGGUACCGGAAGAAUAAGCACCGGCUAACUACGUG
RNAcentral lists this ribosomal RNA (486 nucleotides) under uncultured bacterium. Its description in RNAcentral is "partial 16S ribosomal RNA". It matches the Rfam family "Bacterial small subunit ribosomal RNA", at positions 30 to 507 of the family's 1533-position model. The record is from RNAcentral.